CAAGGGAACGGGCUUGGAAAAAUCAGCGGGGAAAGAAACCCUGUUGAGCUUGACUCUAGUCUGACUCUGUGAAGAGACAUGAGAGGUGUAGCAUAAGUGGGAGGUGCUCUGCGGCCGCCGUUGAAAUACCACUACUUUCAUCGUUUCUUUACUGACUCGGUGAAGCGGAGAGCGGACCGCAGGGUCCACGUUUCUAGUCCUAAGUGCCGGGCCGUCGCGUCUGGCGCGAUCUGCUCCGAGGACAGUGUCAGGCGGGGAGUUUGACUGGGGCGGUACAUCUGUCAAAAGGUAACGCAGGUGUCCUAAGGCGAGCUCAGCGAGGACAGAAACCUCGCGUAGAGCAAAAGGGCAAAAGCUUGCUUGAUCUUGAUUUUCAGUACGAAUACGGACCGCGAAAGCGGGGCCUAUCGAUCCUUUUGACUUUAGGAGUUUUAAGCAAGAGUGUCAGAAAAGGACCACAGGGAUAAC
RNAcentral lists this ribosomal RNA (468 nucleotides) under Limulus polyphemus (Atlantic horseshoe crab). RNAcentral describes it as "eukaryotic LSU rRNA". It matches the Rfam family "Eukaryotic large subunit ribosomal RNA", at positions 2372 to 2830 of the family's 3401-position model. The record is from RNAcentral. Lineage: Eukaryota; Metazoa; Arthropoda; Merostomata; Xiphosura; Limulidae.